This 465-nucleotide ribosomal RNA is filed under the name uncultured ammonia-oxidizing beta proteobacterium. RNAcentral describes it as "bacterial SSU rRNA". It matches the Rfam family "Bacterial small subunit ribosomal RNA", at positions 198 to 644 of the family's 1533-position model. Lineage: Bacteria; Pseudomonadati; Pseudomonadota; Betaproteobacteria. The record is from RNAcentral.
GGAGGAAAGCAGGGGAUCGAAAGACCUUACGUUAUUGGAGCGGCCGAUAUCGGAUUAGCUAGUUGGUGGGGUAAAGGCCUACCAAGGCGACGAUCCGUAGCUGGUCUGAGAGGACGACCAGCCACACUGGAACUGAGACACGGUCCAGACUCCUACGGGAGGCAGCAGUGGGGAAUUUUGGACAAUGGGCGAAAGCCUGAUCCAGCCAUUCCGCGUGAGUGAAGAAGGCCUUCGGGUUGUAAAGCUCUUUCGCGAGGGAAGAAAACUUAACCUCUAAUAUAGGUUGAGGUUGACGGUACCUUGAUAAGAAGCACCGGCUAACUACGUGCCAGCAGCCGCGGUAAUACGUAGGGUGCGAGCGUUAAUCGGAAUUACUGGGCGUAAAGCGUGCGCAGGCGGUUAGAUAAGUCAGAUGUGAAAUCCCCGAGCUCAACUUGGGAACUGCGUUUGAAACUACAAGGCUAG